Culex quinquefasciatus (southern house mosquito) is the source of this 349-nucleotide long non-coding RNA. RefSeq lists it as uncharacterized. Lineage: Eukaryota; Metazoa; Arthropoda; Insecta; Diptera; Culicidae. The transcript is spliced from 2 exons. The record is from RefSeq and is a predicted model, not a curated record.
CAUGCCCGACAUUGUUUUUUCUAUCGAUUUUCCUUCAAUUUGACGUCACGAUUUUCGUCGACGCAAGAGUUUGACAGUUCUCUUCAGUUGGACUUGUUUGAACAUGAUUGCUGUUGAGCUUCGCAAGGAUUUUGGCCGGUUGAUAGGUUUCCUGAUUUCGGUUAUCGUGGUGGUGGAGGCGAAGGAGGAUGGGAAAUAGAGAUAACCCGGCGGCCAUGCCGGAAGACGGGAUGGGAAGGAACCAAUCUGUGGUCGAGGAAGCGGAUGUUUUAUUUUCCACGGGAGAUUGCGGUGCAUUCCCAAAAGAGAAAAAGGAUUAAAUACCAAGUUCUGGUCAAGGGAACAUAAA